RNAcentral lists this ribosomal RNA (210 nucleotides) under uncultured bacterium. RNAcentral describes it as "partial 16S ribosomal RNA". It matches the Rfam family "Bacterial small subunit ribosomal RNA", at positions 585 to 793 of the family's 1533-position model. The record is from RNAcentral.
AAGUCAGAUGUGAAAGCCCGGGGCUUAACCUCGGAAUUGCAUUUUGAAACUGGCAGGCUAGAGUCUUGUAGAGGGGGGUAGAAUUUCAGGUGUAGCGGUGAAAUGCGUAGAGAUCUGAAGGAAUACCAGUGGCGAAGGCGGCCCCCUGGACAAAGACUGACGCUCAGAUGCGAAAGCGUGGGGAGCAAACAGGAUUAGAUACCCUGGUAG